UAUUUUAUUCUUUUUUUUUUUUCCCAUAGGAAACCAACAAAUGCAACUUCACACUUCUAAUCUGCAGGAUGAAGCAAAUGGUUAAAGGAAGUUAUGUGGUAUUAAGUGAAGUGCUUACUUAAAAGAAAAAAUGUACAGGCGUUGCAACAACUACAGUACGGUUAUUCGGCUGUCCCCUCAUAUUGCAUUCAGAGUAUCUGUGAGAGGGGGAAUGAAUCCAAGCAGGAAGAUGAUGGGAAGAAAAGGGUCUCCCAACAGCUCAGUGGGGGAUGGCAGCCUACUGAUGAAGAAAGAUUGGGAUGUGAAAUGGUCCUGUCUGUGAAAUGAGGUUCAGACAUCCUAACUCUUCUUCCAUUAUCAACUUUAGCAUUAAAUUUGAUUUUUGCAGGUAUGAACAUAAUAUUAUUCUCUGAACAGGAAAAUAAUUGAAAUGAGUGCAAAUGUAAUCCACGUUUGAAAUAACUGAGAAAGAAAUAGCAAUAUGCAUAAUAAUAAUGCUUUUCUAAUACUUUAUUCUGAUGAGUUUGUACUCAAUAGAGUAGGAUUAUAUUGGAGUAAUGAACUGCAUAUAUUUUAAAAAAUAACCUCUUCCAUUUAAAUAAAAUUAACCCCAUGGCUGCGGAGAAUGAGUGGGGCUCGUCAUCUGCAUACACCUUAUAAACUGUGGAUGUCCCACUCUUCUGCAGCAAAAUGCCCCCUGGUUACUUAGCUUUUCUCCACUGGCACAAAUCCUACUUGGGGAGUUCCCAGGAUCACUGAGUCCGUCACUUUUGAAAAAAAAAAAAAAACUUCAAUCAUAUUGCCAGAGAUGGGGUAGGGACUUCAAGUCUGUAUAUCUCCCUAACCUUGGCACCUAGGUAGAAGGGUACAUACUUGUUUGAAAGAGAAGAACCUCAUAGAGAUUACUUUUUUAUUAUUAUUAUUCCCCCUACACUUCAGAAAAAUCAUGGAUUCCAUGGAAGGGAGCCAUUCUCCCCCCCAACCUGGCUUCCGUGAAGUGAGGUCCACCCAUUUUUCAAAAGAGGGCCACCCUCUUUCAAAUGAUGUGUCCGGUUAGUACUCAUUGCCUGGUGAACACCUAUGAUCACUGC
Long non-coding RNA from Pseudophryne corroboree (corroboree frog), 1091 nucleotides. RefSeq lists it as uncharacterized. The record is from RefSeq and is a predicted model, not a curated record. The transcript has 3 exons. NCBI's taxonomy places the organism in Eukaryota, Metazoa, Chordata, Amphibia, Anura, Myobatrachidae.